This 491-nucleotide long non-coding RNA is filed under the name Sorghum bicolor (sorghum). Its description in RNAcentral is "long non-coding RNA (SBIC_LNC007390)". The record is from RNAcentral. Lineage: Eukaryota; Viridiplantae; Streptophyta; Magnoliopsida; Poales; Poaceae.
UGCCGUAUAUAGGCCUUGUUCAUUUCCGAAUUUUUUUGGAUUUUUUGUUUUGUAGUAUUUUCGUUUUUAUUUAAUAAUUAUUGUUCAAUCAUAGAUCAAUUAGGCUUAAAAAACUCAUCUCACGAUUUACAGGUAAACUCAAUAGUUUUUGUUUUUGUUUAUAUUUAAUAUCUCAUGCAUGUGCCGGUGAGAUUUGAUGUUACGAAAAAUCUUGAAAAGUUUUUUGUUUUUUUGUGUGCCCUAUACAAAGCUAUGGUUGUACAAAAUGGAGCAGUGUGUGUAGCGCGCCGUGGCUGGCACAAAACUGUCAUGGUAGUUCCAUCUGCCCUACUGCUAUGUGGGGCCGUCAACUAGGGCUGCAUUGCCGGGUCCCCAGACAGUGAGACAGAAGACUCCACAGGGACUCCCCACAAGGCCAUAGGGCCAAGGUGGCCUCGUAACGAACGAACGUCGCAGCGGCAGCGAUGUUCAGUACAGAAUGAUCUGUGUGA